This 493-nucleotide ribosomal RNA is filed under the name uncultured bacterium. RNAcentral's name for it is "bacterial SSU rRNA". It matches the Rfam family "Bacterial small subunit ribosomal RNA", at positions 28 to 507 of the family's 1533-position model. The record is from RNAcentral.
GAUGAACGCUAGCUACAGGCUUAACACAUGCAAGUCGAGGGGAAACGACAUCGAAAGCUUGCUUUUGAUGGGCGUCGACCGGCGCACGGGUGAGUAACGCGUAUCCAACCUGCCCACCACUUGGGGAUAACCUUGCGAAAGUAAGACUAAUACCCAAUGAUAUCCCACGAAGGCAUCCGAAUGGGAUUAAAGAUUUAUCGGUGAUGGAUGGGGAUGCGUCUGAUUAGCUUGUUGGCGGGGUAACGGCCCACCAAGGCUACGAUCAGUAGGGGUUCUGAGAGGAAGGUCCCCCCACAUUGGAACUGAGACACGGUCCAAACUCCUACGGGAGGCAGCAGUGAGGAAUAUUGGUCAAUGGGCGAGAGCCUGAACCAGCCAAGUAGCGUGCAGGACGACGGCCCUAUGGGUUGUAAACUGCUUUUAUACGGGAAUAAAGUGGGCCACGCGUGGCUUUUUGCAUGUACCGUAUGAAUAAGGACCGGCUAAUUCCGUG